UACGGAGGAUGCAAGCGUUAUCCGGAAUGAUUGGGCGUAAAGGGUCCGCAGGUGGCAAUGUAAGUCUGCUGUCAAAGAAUGAGGCUCAACCUCAUCAAGGCAGUGGAAACUACGUAGCUAGAGUACGGUCGGGGUAGAAGGAAUUCCUGGUGUAGCGGUGAAAUGCGCAGAUAUCAGGAAGAACACCGGUGGCGAAAGCGCUCUGCUAGGCCGCAACUGACACUGAGGGACGAAAGCUAGGGGAGCGAAUGGG
This 253-nucleotide ribosomal RNA is filed under the name uncultured bacterium. RNAcentral's name for it is "partial 16S ribosomal RNA". It matches the Rfam family "Bacterial small subunit ribosomal RNA", at positions 524 to 776 of the family's 1533-position model. The record is from RNAcentral.